RNAcentral lists this non-coding RNA (1026 nucleotides) under Perkinsus marinus ATCC 50983. Its description in RNAcentral is "Eukaryotic large subunit ribosomal RNA". It matches the Rfam family "Eukaryotic large subunit ribosomal RNA", at positions 423 to 1318 of the family's 3401-position model. Lineage: Eukaryota; Perkinsozoa; Perkinsida; Perkinsidae. The record is from Rfam by way of RNAcentral.
UGCCGCCGUUGCAUAUGCUGAUUGUAGGAUUGCUGCUCGCUCCUGUCUUCUGCUACUCAUUCACAGACCUGGUCGUGUUGAGCAGUUGUUUGGCAGAUGUUAGUGGUGUUUCCUACUUUCAGUCGUCAGCAUCACUGGCUGAGUGGAAAUAAUCCUUGGAUGCUAAUUGGUUCGCUAUCUGUGAAUUGGUUGCUUCCUUGCGAUACUCACUACUCGGUCAGUGAGGAAGUGCGUUUGCUGGUCAACGAGCUUUCUAACUGUCAUUACCCUGCGCUUUUCGAUUCGUCGAGUGGCCAGGAUGUGGCUUUGAGAUUGUUCGCACUUAGUAAUCGCGAUGCUGGCUUCCAACGGUUGCCUCCGGCCCGUCUUGAAACACGGACCAAGGAGUCUAACGUAUGUGCGAGUGUGUGAGUGGCAAACUUAUACGCGUAAUGAAAGUGAGGCCGUAUGGCCAUGUUGGGGUCACCAACAACCGACCUUGAUCUUCGGUGAAAGGUUUGAGUAUGAGCAUAUCCGUUAGGACCCGAAAGAUGGUGAACUAUGCCUGAGCAGGGUGAAGCCAGGGGAAACUCUGGUGGAGGCUCGUAGCGAUACUGACGUGCAAAUCGUUCGUCAGACUUGGGUAUAGGGGCGAAAGACUAAUCGAACCAUCUAGUAGCUGGUUCCCUCCGAAGUUUCCCUCAGGAUAGCUAGAGUCUUUAUCAGUUUUGUCAGGUAAAGCGAAUGAUUAGAGGUUCCGGGGAAGUAACUUCCUCGACCUAUUCUCAAACUUUAAAUGGGCAAGAUCCAGUAGUUACUUAAUUGAACUAUUGGGGUCAAUGAGACGACUCUAAGUGGGCCAUUUUUGGUAAGCAGAACUGGCGAUGAGGGAUGAACCUAACGCUCGGUUAAGGUGCUAAACUGCUCGCUCAUCAGAUACCACAAAGGGGUGUUGGUCGAUCUUAACAGCAGGACGGUGGUCAUGGAAGUCGAAAUCCGCUAAGGAGUGUGUAACAACUCACCUGCCGAAUCGACUAGCCCCGAAAA